Molecule: ribosomal RNA, 218 nt
Filed under: uncultured fungus
Lineage: Eukaryota; Fungi
Description: partial small subunit ribosomal RNA
Source: RNAcentral
GGUCGUGGGCCUCGGUCCGCCCCUCACGGGGUGUGCACCUGGGGUCUGCAGCCAUCCUCAGGGGGAACAUGUCUGACAUUAAGUUGCCGGGCAUGGGAUCCCUGUCAUUUACUGUGAGCAAAAUAGAGUGUUCAAAGCAGGCUUAGGCCGUUGAAUACAUUAGCAUGGAAUAAUAAGAUAGGACCUUGGUCUAUUUUGUUGGUUUGCACUCCAAGGUA